This is a long non-coding RNA of Helianthus annuus (common sunflower), 868 nucleotides long. RefSeq lists it as uncharacterized. The record is from RefSeq and is a predicted model, not a curated record. NCBI's taxonomy places the organism in Eukaryota, Viridiplantae, Streptophyta, Magnoliopsida, Asterales, Asteraceae. The transcript is spliced from 3 exons.
AUUUACGACGUUACGGAGUAACGGGUCUCGUAAGAAUUACGGACCACUUAAAUACAAGAUUAGGCUUGUGGCCUUGGGCCCAAGCCCAAAAGCCCACUAAUCAAACCCUACCUAUUUAAAAGUUGAAAACCCUACCUCUUCACUUAGAGAUCAGCCGUAUACUGUGUUCCCCUUGUUUCCUUUUGUCCACAACUCAAAGACAACACACACACAAAAGAAAUCCGCAGACCAAGCAAACACAAACAAACAUCAUCACCUCCAACUCUCGCUCGUCUGAAUAUCGCCGGCUCCGGCAACCGGAGCCACUUCCGGCGACAAACACCACAACCCUCCUCCUUCACUAUAACACUUCCAUAACCGGUAUCACCUCUGUAAUCCAUCAUCGGAGAUCGGAGAACAAACAGGAGAAAACCCCUGAGUCGCCAAACUCACCGGAGCCUUACCGGAGUCCGAGGGAUCAACCGAAGACCUACGGACAUCGCGACGGGGAGCAUUCCAUCUCGUUCGACCACAUAAUCGCUCGCUGGAAGAACUCGAAGUGUUUUCCGGAGUAAUCGAGACGCCGUCGGAGUAACCAAGUUUGUCAGAGAUCACGACGAAAACCGUUUCGGCAUCGUUUAUCGGAUAACCUCUCUCGUUCGUUCCCUUGGAUUCUCACUCUUUACUUGUACGUUACAAGAAAUCGCAACGCAACCAAGGAUUGUGACAGAUGAAUCCAGUAGGAUUGCCUAGAAACGCAUUUAAACUUUGUUGCUCGUUGUAUUGUAAUCUACUUUCAAUCCUGUUGUAUUCUGGUUCCAAUACAUGUAAUAAUUCAUUAUUAAUGAAAUGAAUUAUAAUUACUUGAAUACUUAUUGUGCAUUAUUUA